AGCCCUGCCCAAGGCGGAGCCGUGAACCAUGUCAGGCGGGGAACCGAGCAGCAUUAAGCGGAUCACCGACUGUGGGCAGGUAAUCU
RNAcentral lists this signal recognition particle RNA (86 nucleotides) under Ruminiclostridium sp. Its description in RNAcentral is "signal recognition particle sRNA small type". It matches the Rfam family "Bacterial small signal recognition particle RNA". Rfam says of the family: The signal recognition particle (SRP) is a universally conserved ribonucleoprotein involved in the co-translational targeting of proteins to membranes. Archaeal SRP consists of a 7S RNA and homologues of the eukaryotic SRP19 and SRP54 proteins. Lineage: Bacteria; Bacillati; Bacillota; Clostridia; Eubacteriales; Oscillospiraceae. The record is from RNAcentral.